CCUACGGGAGGCUGCAGUGAGGAAUAUUGGUCAAUGGACGAGAGUCUGAACCAGCCAAGUAGCGUGAAGGAUGACUGCCCUAUGGGUUGUAAACUUCUUUUAUAUGGGAAUAAAAUGUUCCACGUGUGGGAUUUUGUAUGUACCAUAUUAAUAAGGAUCGGCGAACUCCGUGUCAGCAGCCGCGGUAAUACGGGGUCUCCGAGCGUUAUCCGGUUUUAUUGGGGUUAAAGGGAGCGCAGGUGGAUUGUUAAGUCAGUGGUGAAAGUUUGCGGCUCAACCGUAAAAUUGCAGUUGAAAAUGGCAGACUUGAGUGCAGUAGAGGUGGGCUGAAUUCGUGGUGUAGCGGUGAAAUGCUUAGAUAUCACGAAGAACUCCGAUUGCGAAGGCAGCUCACUGGACUGCAACUGACACUGAGGCUCGAAAGUGUGGGUAUCAAACAGGAUUAGAUACCCGUGUAGUC
Molecule: ribosomal RNA, 460 nt
Filed under: uncultured bacterium
Lineage: Bacteria
Description: partial 16S ribosomal RNA
Rfam family: Bacterial small subunit ribosomal RNA
Source: RNAcentral